Long non-coding RNA from Bos taurus (domestic cattle), 1083 nucleotides. The record is from Ensembl. Lineage: Eukaryota; Metazoa; Chordata; Mammalia; Artiodactyla; Bovidae.
AGGAGGAGAAGGGGACGACAGAGGGUGAGAUGGCUGGAUGGUAUCACUGACUCGAUGGACAUGAGUCUGAGUGAACUCCGGGAGUUGGUGAUGGACAGGGAGGCCUGGCGUGCUGCGAUUCAUGGGGUCGCAAAGAGUCGGACACAACUGAGCGACUAAACUGAACUGCUUACAUUUGAAACUUAAAUUUUUGAAAGACAAACCCUAUACAGUCAUAUAUUACUCCUGUCCAUAGAAUGGCAAUAAAUCUUUAUAGAGUGAUAGAUGAAGAACCUUCCUUUAAAAAGACUAUUUCAAACUAAUCUCCCCCUAAUUAUAUUGGAAGGCUUUUCAUGAUAAAAUUCCUGGAAGGGUCACUGAAGUGCAGUGAAAGUCGCUCGGUCAUGUCCGACUCUUCAACCCCGUGGCCUGCAGCCCGCCAGGCUCCUCUGUGCAUGCACUCCUAGAGGCAAGAGUACUGCAGUGGGUCACUGGAGUUCAGAAAUUCUCCUCACUCCGUAGGUAUGAUUUAAAUGUUUAAAUUAAGAGUUAGUCGCUCAGUCAUGUCUGACUCUUUGCAACCCCAUGGACUGUAGCCCACCAGGCUCCUCCAUCCAUGGGAUUUUCCAGGCAGGAAUACUGCAGUGGGUAGCCCUUUCCUUCUCCAGAGGAUCUUCCAAGCCCAGGGAUCAGACCUGUGUCACCUGCAUUAUAGGUGGAUUCUUUACCAUCUGAGCCACUAGCGAAGCCCUUCAACUAAGAGGGUCCCUGGAUUUAUGAGCUUCUGCCUACGUCUUGGAUUUAAGAGGAAAAAGGGUAGGAUUUAUUAAGCAAGCAGCCUGCAGCCCACCCUCGAGACAUGAGAGCAGAUGAAGCCCAGUAGGACUGGUCUCAUCUGUUUUUUGUUUUUUAAUAUAUAAUUUUAUUUAUUACUUUCUUUUACUUUUGGUUGUCCUGGGCCUUUGUUGCUGUGUGGGCUUUCUCUCCAGUUGCCGCGUGUGGGCUUCUCAAUUGUGGUGACUUCCCUUGUUAGGGAGCACGGGCUCCAGGGCACACAGGCUUCAGUGGGCUCAGUGGUUGCGGCUCACGGGCUCUAGAACACAG